RNAcentral lists this long non-coding RNA (673 nucleotides) under Vulpes vulpes (red fox). RNAcentral describes it as "lncRNA (ENSVVUG00000006409.1)". The record is from RNAcentral. Lineage: Eukaryota; Metazoa; Chordata; Mammalia; Carnivora; Canidae.
GAAAAAGUGAUAAUGCAAUAUGACAUUUAUUAGAACAUUCUUUGUUAUGCUAAGGCCUAACUGUGCCGUAGAAAGAAACCUUUCAUAAUAACGGGCAAUUCAAGUAUUGAAAUCUUGAGUGACUGCUAUGAAGACCCAGAAAAAGUGUGGAACUCAGUGUCGAUGUUAAAAGCAAGUGCUCUGGCAUCACACAACACAUAGCGUGCUAAGGCCCAGGCAAUGGGCCGUAAGUCUCCCUCAUCCAGUAGAAGCUGUCAGUCCUAUCAUUCUGAGGGACUUCGGCCAGCCUAGGAGCUACCCUGGUGAAGAGUGUGGAGAAGCAGUCUGCUGAGGACAUGGCAUAAAGGAGAGAGAAAAACACUCAUGGAGUCUCCUCCCGGAAACAUUCUGCAGACACAGAAAAUGCUAUUAAAUGAACAAUUUAUGCAAAUUCCUCAGAGUUGAAUGACAUUUGCAUAUGCCGUCUGUCAAAAAGUUCUGAUGGGAGAGAAUCUGAUAAUCUUCCUGCCUGAGUAAGGUAAGGGGACGUGGACAAGAGAGCUGAGAAUGAUCUUUUGAGCAACGGUCACGCGGAAGGCAUGGCUCCAUGAGUCUGCAACCUUCCCUUCUUGGUGGUUUUCUGGGGCCUGGUCUCACAUGACCAUCCAGUUAAAGAGUUAUCAUUAAAGGUUGU